RNAcentral lists this unclassified non-coding RNA (233 nucleotides) under uncultured fungus. RNAcentral describes it as "sequence contains ITS1, 5.8S rRNA gene". The stretch from base 185 to 233 matches the Rfam family "5.8S ribosomal RNA", at positions 1 to 49 of the family's 154-position model. The record is from RNAcentral. Lineage: Eukaryota; Fungi.
UCUCCGUAGGUGAACCUGCGGAGGGAUCAUUACCGAGUGAGGGUUCCGGCACGACCUCCAACCCUUUGUGAACUACAACUCUGUUGCUUCGGGGGCGACCCCGCCGUUUCGGCGGUGGCGCUCCCGGUGGCCAAUUAUUAAACUCUGCAUCUCUUGCGUCGGAGUCUUAAAGAAAUUUAAACAAAACUUUCAACAACGGAUCUCUUGGUUCUGGCAUCGAUGAAGAACACAGC